GUCGUCUUCCUGGUGCUAGUAUGUGCUCUACUCUUUGUUAUCAGGAAGGGAAUCAACACAAUGCUCUAUAUGUCAACCAAAUCAAGUGAAGCUUUUGAAAGCCCCUUAGCAACAUCUUUCAGCUAUCUUCAAAUUGUGUGUCUUUAUACCAUUGCCAAAACUACCACAUAGCAUAUAACACAAGUGUAACAGGAAAUAGAAAAGCAAACUAACAUUCUGUCAGGUACAAAGCCUUGUUAAAAAAGUUAGAAUUUAGAGUGCCUUAAUGUUCAUGUUCUUUAAGCUAGUGACAGGUUUUGUUUAUUCAUGAAUAAAAUUAUUUAAAUUUCCACUUUUUUUUAACCAAUAAUAACAAAACAGAAAGUUAAUUCGGGGUCUCAGUUGUUAAUUUUGUGUGAACUUAGAAUAGAUGUUACUAAGGAAAUGAGUAAUGAGGAGCUUGUGUAAAUAAAUAAAUAAAUGUCCCAGUAAC
Molecule: non-coding RNA, 472 nt
Organism: Labrus bergylta (ballan wrasse)
Lineage: Eukaryota; Metazoa; Chordata; Actinopteri; Labriformes; Labridae
Source: RefSeq, a predicted model, not a curated record